Molecule: long non-coding RNA, 497 nt
Filed under: Coturnix japonica (Japanese quail)
Lineage: Eukaryota; Metazoa; Chordata; Aves; Galliformes; Phasianidae
Description: lncRNA (ENSCJPG00005017698.1)
Source: RNAcentral
AAUUGAUUCAGCUUCAAAACUCCUUCAUAUCAUAAAUGUGUAUUUUUUUUAACAUUUCCUUUUUUUAAAAAAAUAUAUUCUUAUUUCUUUAAGGAACUUCAGGACACAACAAAUGACUUCUCCUAAGUAUACCUCAUUUUAUGUCAGAACCAGAGUCUGCAGUAGACUUAAGGAAAGAUUGAAGAGAUAUCUUUCUUCACAAAAUCAGUUCUGUUCUGGUAUGCUACGUGCAGCAGUAUAGGAUGGAGAAGGAGGGGAGAUAAUGGAAAAAAAUCAUUGUUGGGAAUGCUCAUACUGCUGCCAUCAUGCUUUUAAAAAGAAAAGUUCUGGAAAUGGCUCAGCACAGCAAGAUAGAUACAUGCCCUGAUGUUAACCAAAGGUGGACAAGGCUUUGGCGAAAGUGGUACAGUAUAAAUCUAAGUGGAAAUGAAAGGAAAUGAACUAUCUGCCUGUCUCUGUUGGUGACAAAAUUCUAAGAGAUGGAACUUUGGAGCAUG